CAAUAGCGUAUAUUAAAGUUGUUGCAGUUAAAAAGCUCGUAGUAGGAUUUCUGAUCGAGACAUCAGGUCGGGUCCGAGAGGAUCAUGUACUUUGAUUUUGUUUUGAUCAUCCUUGGGGAGAGCAUUUCUGGCAUUCAGUUGUCGGGAUUGGGAUCCUCAUCGUUUACUGUGAAAAAAUUAGAGUGUUCAAAGCAGGCCUCGGCCUCUGAAUACACUAGCAUGGAAUAAUAAGAUAGGACUUUGGUGGUCUAUUUUGUUGGUUUGCACGCCAAAGUAAUGAUUAAUAGGGAUAGUUGGGGGUAUUCGUAUUCAAUUGUCAGAGGUGAAAUUCUUGGAUUUAUGGAAGACGAACUACUGCGAAAGCAUUUACCAAGGAUGUUUUCAUUAA
RNAcentral lists this ribosomal RNA (388 nucleotides) under uncultured eukaryote. RNAcentral describes it as "partial 18S ribosomal RNA". It matches the Rfam family "Eukaryotic small subunit ribosomal RNA", at positions 592 to 976 of the family's 1831-position model. The record is from RNAcentral.